Centruroides sculpturatus (bark scorpion) is the source of this 1098-nucleotide long non-coding RNA. RefSeq lists it as uncharacterized. The transcript is spliced from 3 exons. Lineage: Eukaryota; Metazoa; Arthropoda; Arachnida; Scorpiones; Buthidae. The record is from RefSeq and is a predicted model, not a curated record.
AUGAUACAUCUACCUAUAAAUAUACAACAUUGUUGUUAUAUAACUGUACUAUUUUAUCUGUUUUGAUAGUUAAUCUAUCUGUUAAUUUAUGUUUAAUAUGACAGGUGUUUAUUUAAUUCAUGGUCAGGAGCAAAACUUUAAAUUCAUCCUUGGAAUCUUCCAGCUUUUUGUUUUUUUCAAAAUAAUCUUCUUUGAACCUCAUACACUUUUGUAAGCAUUGUACCCAUGCGUUAAAAGUGUCUUAGUUGAAAUCAUUUUUCAACAGCAUGAAAAGUGUUGUCAUUGUGGCUAAUACAGUGCAGCCAAUAGUCACUGCCAUAGGUGCUUAGGUUCUGUCACAUUGUUGUAUUCCUCAAAUUAGCAUCUUGUAAUUCUUUUCCUCUUUCCAUGUCUGAAGAGAGCUUUGAAAGAGAAAUAUUUUGCAUCUAACAAUGAAGUUUGCAGAGCCACAACAGCACUUUGCAUGCUUUUAUAGAAUGGCUUCAAAUAAGCUUUUGAUGCAUGAGUACAACACUGGAAAUGUGUGAAGUUCAACAGAGUAUUUUGAGAAAGGCCAAUGGCCAGAAGAUUUUGAAGAUAACAUUUAAGGUAAGUCUUCACUCCUGUCCACAAAUUAAAUCACCAUCCUUUGUACAUUUUAAAUUAAAAUAUUUAUUGUCCACUGAACCAUUAUUCUAGUUGUACCAGUAAUAAUUUUUGUAGUAUUUAUAAUGAUAAAAAGUAUAAUUAACUUUUUUUCUUUCUAAGUAUCAUAAAGCAUUAACACAAUUGUGGGCUGAAGUAACUCAUCAACUGGCUGAUUUACCACUUAUACCAUUCGAAAUUAGAGAUUAUGCUGCAUUUUUGAAUUAUUCUGCAAAAAUAUUAAAAAAGCAGUUAGUGAAUUUAAAAAUCAUUCAGCAUGAUGAUUUAGAUGCAGUUGUUAACCUCUUUCAAAAAGAAGUUAAUAAAUUUUAUCAAAACAAGAGAAAAAUCAACAUUUCAAAUUUUUAUGCUGUUCGUGCCUUCAAUGAUAAACUUUUGUUGCUUGAAAAAGCUUUUAUUAAAACAGAAAAUUUACCAGAUAAUUAUUUCAGGUAAAAUUAUAUAUUAAAUAAU